This is a long non-coding RNA of Cercocebus atys (sooty mangabey), 1234 nucleotides long. RefSeq lists it as uncharacterized. The transcript has 3 exons. Lineage: Eukaryota; Metazoa; Chordata; Mammalia; Primates; Cercopithecidae. The record is from RefSeq and is a predicted model, not a curated record.
UAUAUAUUUGGCACUCCAGGAAGAUGAAGGUGGGUUUAUAGAAGUGCUGUUAGUACCAGGGACACUGGAUAAGAAAGAUAAGCAAGCCACUGCUCUCUGAUUUCUACAUAGCAGGUUAAAAUGUUGCAUUUAUAAUUCCCAUUUCAGAAAGACUGAAAGCCAGAGUUUAUUCUAUUAGAUUCCAAGAUAUCAAGGAAGAGGAAAAGGGAAGAAGAGCCCCAGGCACUAUUAAACCACAGCUACAGUCAUUGCCAUUUGAAACUUCCCACCAAACAACUUCACUAUUCUGAUUUACUUUCAACUCCCAGGGUGAGUUAGUAUUAGGCAGAAGUACCUAUCAUCCAUGAUAAUCCACCAGCCCUGGGGAUUUAGAAGGGAAAGGAUGGAGGUCUCUGUGCUUGAGGCUUGGCUGAUAGCUGAGCAGGGCUCCAGCUCACCUUCAUCUCACUCUUGUGGAUACCUGCACUAGGGGCCUGAGCAUUCUUGCAGAUCUCUGCAGAGGAGGCUGCCCUUAGGUGUUAUUAAGGUGUGAAAGCAGCAAGAAAGAGCAGAAUUAAACUGCUUUUCUCUAAUGUAUCCUUUUACAGCCCAGUGUGUUUUGCCCUAGGCUAGCCUUUUCUUCUCCUUUCACCCUCCACAUGCCAGUCCAAGACAGCCUUUCUUCUCAUAGGAAUUAUUGUGUUAUUAUUUCUUAAAUUUUUUUUUUCUUUUCGAUGGCUUUUCUAGAGGAAACCUAACAGUGUGGGUUUAUCAACCAUUUUGGCAAGACUCUGAAGUCUACUGAACAGAUUUUUAAAUAAAAAUUAUGAACAAAGAAAGUCUAGUAAAUUUACUAAUAGAAAAACUGACUAUGCCUUGUAGGAAUUUUUGUGUGUGUGUGACAUUCCAUUGUGUACCUGCCAGAGAAGAAAACAAGUGGGACCUGUUACUCAAAUUGUUCAAUUUUAAAGCAGGUCCGUUGUUAUGAUUGGACUUUAUUCACAUACAAGCACUUGCACAAGGAUGACAUAAAGUGAGGAUAUAGUAGAGUGAUUACAUGUAAUGGGUGUACUGAAGAGUCUCUACACCUUGGGGUAUAAACAAUGUUUUGAGGGUUUUUUUUUGUUUAUUUGUUUUUCUCCCAUCAUUUUCAGCAGUGUUUUCUUGCAUUUCUCCUUGCAAGCCUUUUAAACAAUAUCAUCUACAAUUUUCUGGUUGCUUAUGAUUAUCAAAAUUAAAACCAGUUCCAUUUUUU